Molecule: long non-coding RNA, 852 nt
Filed under: Gossypium raimondii (Peruvian cotton)
Lineage: Eukaryota; Viridiplantae; Streptophyta; Magnoliopsida; Malvales; Malvaceae
Description: long non-coding RNA (GRAI_LNC008702)
Source: RNAcentral
CCGCCGUCGCCGUGCCAACCACGGAGCCACCGCGUACGGCGCUCGAAACCAGGUAAACGUCCUUUCUUUCUUUAUAUAUAUAUAUAUUAAAAAUAUAUGAAACAAAGAUCAGAAAAAAAAUGAAGAAAAUUCGAAAAAAGGAAAAGCAAAUCACCCUUAAAUUGCUAUCUCUCUCUGUUCUUCAAUAGUUUUCGACACAAUAUUCCUCACACCAAUUUUGUAUCCAUUUUCUCCCCCCUUUUACCGAUUGAAAAUCGACCUUUUAUUCCCCCAAAAUAACAGACCAAAAAAAACUCUCCAAAAACCCCCUUACAUUUGUUGUAAUUUCCCCUUUUAUCUUCUGUUACCCCAUUUUCCUUGCUUUUGCUGCAGUUUGUGAUCCGUUUCAGGGACACGGGAGGAGACGUGCGUGGAAACUGCAACCACUGGCACACACGCGCGAAACUGCUACUAGGGUUUCCUGAUCCUUCCUCUGCUAUUGGUUUCGGGCUACUGUUUGGGCUCAUUUGGGUUUAGUCUAGGCUUGGGUUAAUUGGGUUUAGUAAUGGACUGUUAAUUAUUUAGUUUUUUAGCCAGGCCAAAAUUGGCCUAUUACGUAUAUUUUAUUUCUUUUUUUUUUUUGUCAUUUUAUUUGACAAGUUGUUACAUACAUAGUCAAUUAUAAGCAGGAAAAAAAACUCAAACUGCCAUUUCUCAGUCAUUCCUCAAAUUAGUAGUAUUGUUGGAGUAUUAAAUUGAUAGAAUUUAGAUUAAAUUUGCUGCAUUAUUUAGAAUUAGAGCUUAUUUGAUUGAAUGUAUAAGUAUUAAGGACUAAAUAUAUUAUUAUACCAAGUAAAAAAAGCUCACCCCACC